UACGAAGGGGGCUAGCGUUGCUCGGAAUCACUGGGCGUAAAGCGCACGUAGGCGGCUUACUAAGUCAGGGGUGAAAUCCUGGAGCUCAACUCCAGAACUGCCUUUGAUACUGGUGAGCUUGAGUCCGGAAGAGGUGAGUGGAACUGCGAGUGUAGAGGUGAAAUUCGUAGAUAUUCGCAAGAACACCCGUGGCGAAGGCGGUUCUCUGGGACGGUACUGACGCUGAGACGCGAAAGCGUGGGGAGCGAACAGG
RNAcentral lists this ribosomal RNA (253 nucleotides) under uncultured bacterium. RNAcentral describes it as "partial 16S ribosomal RNA". It matches the Rfam family "Bacterial small subunit ribosomal RNA", at positions 524 to 776 of the family's 1533-position model. The record is from RNAcentral.